CGCCUCUUGCUAACAAAGGAAGUACUAGAGGUCCCGCCUGCCCUGUGACCACAAAGUUUAACGGCCGCGGUAUCCUGACCGUGCGAAGGUAGCGUAAUCAUUUGUCUUUUAAAUAGAGACCUGUAUGAAUGGCAUAACGAGGGUUUAACUGUCUCCUUCCCCCAGUCAAUGAAAUUGAUCUGCCCGUGCAGAAGCGGACAUAAAUACAUAAGACGAGAAGACCCUAUGGAGCUUUAGACAAAAGAUCAAACAUGUAAAGAAACCAAAACAACCAAAAGGAACACGAAGGCCACAAAACCCAACGUAAACUGAUCUAAAUGUCUUCGGUUGGGGCGACCAUGGGGGAAAGAAAAGCCCCCACGAGGAACAGGGACAACCCCUAAACUAAGAGGGACACCUCUAAGCAACAGAAAAUCUGACCAAAAUGACCCAGGAUACUAAUCCUGAUCAACGAACCAAGUUACCCUAGGGAUAACAGCGCAAUCCUUU
RNAcentral lists this ribosomal RNA (489 nucleotides) under Anguilla rostrata (American eel). RNAcentral's name for it is "partial large subunit ribosomal RNA". It matches the Rfam family "Bacterial large subunit ribosomal RNA", at positions 1816 to 2491 of the family's 2925-position model. The record is from RNAcentral. Lineage: Eukaryota; Metazoa; Chordata; Actinopteri; Anguilliformes; Anguillidae.